AAAAAUUAGUCAGCCCUGUUGUUCAUAAAACUUUCCAUGAUGCCACUUCAGAUGGAAUUUCUACUGAUUUAUGAGAGAACAGGAUAAUUUGACGAUUAUUUACCCCAUGUUCUUAGAUUCUAUAGAACUCUUAAUUUGCAUUUAAUUUAUUCUAGCGCUUAAUGAUUGUUUGUGAUUUGGUAUGUUUAAUUUCUUUCAAGUAAUGGUAGAUGCUACCGGCUAUUUCUUUCAGAGUGCAACUUUUGUUUCUAUUUUACAAUUUUCUUUUGAGUAUUUAUCGACCAAGCGCUUCAAUGCUUUAUAUGUUUGUAAUACUUUUGAUAAGGGAUCCGAUUAUUUUCUAGCAUGCAAAAUAUGAAACCUGAUCACACAAGAGAUAUGCAUGCCAUCAUAUUUGGUUUUCUUGUUAUGCAAUUUGUUUUUGUUAUCACUAAAAUGCAACAUAAAUUGGCACUUUGGCAGAAAACUUAAUUGCAUAUAUUUUUUCACAGCUACCCAAAUGAAAAUUAUCAAUAAUUUGGGAACUCAAAUUUUUAGUCAAAAUUCUGACAUUGUCAAAAUGCAAUAGAAUGUUCCUUUCUAUACUAAUUAGUUCCUUGUAAAGAUGUGAAAAGACACCACUAUGAUCUUACUUAUUUGAGGUUGAUUAGUCGAAUAAUUUGAUAAAUGGUCAUAUUAAAUUGUUGGUAUCGCAUUAUAUGGUCAUCUAUGUCUCACUCUUCGACUUUAUGUCCAUAGAUUAUUUUCACAAAUGUGGGCA
RNAcentral lists this unclassified non-coding RNA (760 nucleotides) under Hevea brasiliensis (rubber tree). Lineage: Eukaryota; Viridiplantae; Streptophyta; Magnoliopsida; Malpighiales; Euphorbiaceae. The record is from RNAcentral.